This 587-nucleotide ribosomal RNA is filed under the name uncultured bacterium. RNAcentral's name for it is "partial 16S ribosomal RNA". It matches the Rfam family "Bacterial small subunit ribosomal RNA", at positions 355 to 1375 of the family's 1533-position model. The record is from RNAcentral.
UGGGGAAUUUUGGACAAUGGGCGAAAGCCUGAUCCAGCAAUGCCGCGUGUGUGAAGAAGGCCUUCGGGUUGUAAAGCACUUUUGUCCGGAAAGAAAUCCUUGGCUCUAAUACAGUCGGGGGAUGACGGUACCGGAAGAAUAAGCACCGGCUAACUACGUGCCAGCAGCCGCGGUAAUACGUAGGGUGCAAGCGUUAAUCGGAAUUACUGGGCGUAAAGCGUGCGCAGGCGGUUUGCUAAGACCGAUGUGAAAUCCCCGGGCGUCAACCUGGGAACUGGCAUUGGUGACUGGCAGGCUAGAGUAUGGCAGAGGGGGGUAGAAUUCCACGUGUAGCAGUGAAAUGCGUAGAGAUGUGGAGGAAUACCGAUGGCGAAGGCAGCCCCCUGGGCCAAUACUGACGCUCAUGCACGAAAGCGUGGGGAGCAAACAGGAUUAGAUACCCUGGUAGUCCACGCCCUAAACGAUGUCAACUAGUUGUUGGGGAUUCAUUUCCUUAGUAACGUAGCUAACGCGUGAAGUUGACCGCCUGGGGAGUACGGUCGCAAGAUUAAAACUCAAAUGAAUUGACGGGGUCAUAGCUGUUUCCU